Molecule: long non-coding RNA, 487 nt
Filed under: Mus musculus (house mouse)
Lineage: Eukaryota; Metazoa; Chordata; Mammalia; Rodentia; Muridae
Description: predicted gene, 30662 (Gm30662)
Source: RNAcentral
AUCAGCCCCAAGAACUCCUGGAAGUCAGGACCUUUGCCUUCUUAAUUUUUGUAUCCUCCACAACAUUUGGCAUGGUUUGCAUCACAUGAGCACACUGGAAAGUAUAAGCAAGCACACAAGUGUUGGAUCUGUAUGUUUAGUUCGGAUUCAACCCCAUUGUUAUUUCCUGGAGUCCUUCCAAGAGAUCUUACAAGUUAUCAAUCUCGCCACGACAGAGUGCUUUCUGACCACUUCCCCUUUGCAAUUAAGGACUGUGACCACUCGCUUACGCACAGACUGAGAACAGCAGCCAUAACCCCAAAGGAGGUCAGAAGCUCCCAGCUCUCCCCACCAAGGGGGCUUAGCCGAGAACCUGAUACCUUGUGUUUUCCAGCUGUGGCUAAGGCUCUGACCAUAGGAACUGGGAACACCCACCAACACCCGUCUCCCCCAACCCCACUUCCUUGGCUUCAAAUGCCAUUAAACAUGUUUGCAGUGCGUUUGUGAA